Molecule: transfer RNA, 81 nt
Filed under: Prymnesium neolepis
Lineage: Eukaryota; Haptophyta; Prymnesiales; Prymnesiaceae
Source: RNAcentral
CCCUGGCGGUGUUGCUGGAAGUGAUGUUGAUGGCGUCGGUUCUCAGGCUGUCCUUGUCCUGGGAGAAAGCACUCCUUGCGG